This 397-nucleotide ribosomal RNA is filed under the name uncultured bacterium. RNAcentral's name for it is "bacterial SSU rRNA". It matches the Rfam family "Bacterial small subunit ribosomal RNA", at positions 29 to 476 of the family's 1533-position model. The record is from RNAcentral.
AACGAACGCUGGCGGCAUGCCUAACACAUGCAAGUCGAACGAGACCUUCGGGUCUAGUGGCGCACGGGUGCGUAACGCGUGGGAACCUGCCUUUAGGUUCGGAAUAACUCAGAGAAAUUUGAGCUAAUACCGGAUAAUGUCUUCGGACCAAAGAUUUAUCGCCUUUAGAUGGGCCCGCGUUGGAUUAGCUAGUUGGUGGGGUAGAGGCCUACCAAGGCGACGAUCCAUAGCUGGUCUGAGAGGAUGAUCAGCCACACUGGGACUGAGACACGGCCCAGACUCCUACGGGAGGCAGCAGUGGGAAUAUUGGACAAUGGGCGAAAGCCUGAUCCAGCAAUGCCGCGUGAGUGAUGAAGGCUAGGUGUAAGCNCUUUUACCCGAGAUGAUAAUAGACAGU